ACUUAAAUAGUUUAAUAAAAUAUUGAUUUGUGGUGUCAAAGAUACAAGAGGUUGUUUUAGGUA
RNAcentral lists this transfer RNA (63 nucleotides) under Torleya mikhaili. RNAcentral describes it as "tRNA-His". Lineage: Eukaryota; Metazoa; Arthropoda; Insecta; Ephemeroptera; Ephemerellidae. The record is from RNAcentral.